GACGAACGCUGGCGGCGUGCUUAACACAUGCAAGUCGAACGGAAAGGCCCUGCUUUUGUGGGGUGCUCGAGUGGCGAACGGGUGAGUAACACGUGAGUAACCUGCCCUUGACUGUGUGAUAACUUCAGGAAACUGGGGCUAAUAUCGGAUAGGAGCUCCUGCUGCAUGGUGGGGGUUGGAAAGAUUCGGCGGUUGGGGAUGGACUCGCGGCUUAUCAGCUUGUUGGUGAGGUAGUGGCUUACCAAGGCUUUGACGGGUAGCCGGCCUGAGAGGGUGAACGGCCACCUUGGGACUGCGAUACGGACCAGACUCCUACGGGAGGCAGCAGUGGGGAAUAUUGCGCAAUGGGCGGAAGCCUGAUGCAGCAACGCCGCGUGCGGGAUGACGGCCUUCGGGUUGUAAACCGCUUUCGCCUGUGACGAAGCGUGAGUGACGGUAAUGGGUAAAGAAGCACCGGCUAACUACGUG
Molecule: ribosomal RNA, 468 nt
Filed under: uncultured bacterium
Lineage: Bacteria
Description: partial 16S ribosomal RNA
Rfam family: Bacterial small subunit ribosomal RNA
Source: RNAcentral